RNAcentral lists this ribosomal RNA (301 nucleotides) under uncultured bacterium. RNAcentral's name for it is "partial 16S ribosomal RNA". It matches the Rfam family "Bacterial small subunit ribosomal RNA", at positions 509 to 807 of the family's 1533-position model. The record is from RNAcentral.
CAGCCGCCGCGGGAAUACGAGGGGGGCAAGCGUUGUUCGGAAUUAUUGGGCGUAAAGGGCGCGUAGGCGGUUUGGCAAGUUUGGUGUGAAAUCUUCGGGCUCAACUCGAAGUCUGCAUCGAAAACUGCCGGGCUUGAGUAUGGGAGAGGUGAGUGGAAUUUCCGGUGUAGCGGUGAAAUGCGUAGAUAUCAGGAGGAACACCUGUGGCGAAAGCGGCCCACUGGACCAUUACUGACGCUGAAACACGAAAGCUAGGGGAGCAAACAGGAUUAGAGACCCCAGUAGUCCCUGUCUCUUAUAC